GUGAAACCGCGAAUGGCUCAUUAAAUCACACCUAAUAUACUGGAUAUUAUCAGUUACUUGGAUAACUGCGGUAAUUCUGGAGCUAAUACAUGCAUACCAGCCCCGAACGUAAGUGAGGGGUGCUUUUAUUAGAUCAAAACCAAACGCUUCGGCGUCUCUUUGGUGAUUCUGAAUAACUUUUGGCUGAUCGCACGGAUUUAUUCCGGCGACGUAUCCUUCUAAGGUGUGCCCUAUCAACUGUCGACUGUGGCAUAGACGCCCACAGUGGUUUUGACGGGUAACGGGGAAUUAGGGUUCGAUUCCGGAGAGGGAGCCUGAGAAACGGCUACCACUUCUAAGGAAGGCAGCAGGCACGCAAAUUACCCACUGGUCGAAGACCGAGGUAGUGACGAAAAAUAACGAUACCGGACUCAUCCGAGGCCCGGUAAUCGGAAUGAGAACACUUUAAAUCCUUUAACGAGGAACAAUUGGAGGGCAAGUCUGGUGCCAGCAGCCGCGGUAAUUCCAGCUCCAAUAGCGUAUAUUAAAGUUGUUGCGGUCAAAAAGCUCGUAGUUGGAUCUCGGCGGGUAGGGGACGGUUCGUUGUUUGACGUUACUGUCCCAUUUACUCGUGUUUUUGACGGAGGUUUCGGGGUGAUCUUAACCGAUUGUCACGGGACGCCGUCAGGUUUACUUUGAAAAAAUUAGAGUGCUCAAAGCAGGCUUUAUACGCUUGAAUAUUAUUGCAUGGAAUAAUAGAAUAGGAUGUCGUGUCCUUUUUGUUGGUUGUAGGAUAUUGACAUAAUGAUUAAUAGGGACAGUCGGGGGCAUUAGUAUUCAGACGACAGAGGUGAAAUUCUUGGACCGUCUGAAGACUAACUACUGCGAAAGCAUUUGCCAAGAAUGUUUUCAUUAAUCAAGAACGAAAGUUAGAGGUUCGAAGGCGAUCAGAUACCGCCCUAGUUCUAACCAUAAACGAUGCCAGCUAGCGAUCCGCAGAUGUUUUUAUUGUAGGCUCUGCGGGAAGCUUCCGGGAAACCAAAGCUUUUGGGUUCCGGGGGAAGU
RNAcentral lists this ribosomal RNA (1044 nucleotides) under Asterocheres lilljeborgi. Its description in RNAcentral is "SSU rRNA". It matches the Rfam family "Eukaryotic small subunit ribosomal RNA", at positions 81 to 1124 of the family's 1831-position model. Lineage: Eukaryota; Metazoa; Arthropoda; Copepoda; Siphonostomatoida; Asterocheridae. The record is from RNAcentral.